UCCGAGUUUGCUGCAGAGCCGCCCCCUCCCGGCGGGAGCGCUGACGUCACGGAAAAGCCCCGUCGCGGGGCUGCCGGGCGCGCUAUAAACGGCGGCGGGCCGCGGAGGCUUCAGGAGGCGGCACUGCCAGCGGACAUCACACAGCCUUAGACUGCGGAACCCGCAUCGGCAGGCGGCAAGCAUUGCAGCAGGCAGCAGGCAUUGUCCGGACCGACGGCAAACGCCCACCCAGCGCCCAGUACAGCCAAGAUCCCACAAUGACUCUGAAUAACGUCACCAUGCGCCAAGGCACUGUGGGCAUGACAGAAGUUAGUACCAGGAGUGGGAUAUUGCUGUCAUAGGCCUGAUCAUGCUUUUGU
This 359-nucleotide long non-coding RNA is filed under the name Rattus norvegicus (Norway rat). RNAcentral describes it as "long non-coding RNA NONRATT033170". The record is from RNAcentral. Lineage: Eukaryota; Metazoa; Chordata; Mammalia; Rodentia; Muridae.